RNAcentral lists this ribosomal RNA (480 nucleotides) under Diutina catenulata. Its description in RNAcentral is "SSU rRNA". It matches the Rfam family "Eukaryotic small subunit ribosomal RNA", at positions 363 to 925 of the family's 1831-position model. Lineage: Eukaryota; Fungi; Ascomycota; Pichiomycetes; Serinales; Debaryomycetaceae. The record is from RNAcentral.
CGGGGAAUAAGGGUUCGAUUCCGGAGAGGGAGCCUGAGAAACGGCUACCACAUCCAAGGAAGGCAGCAGGCGCGCAAAUUACCCAAUCCCGACACGGGGAGGUAGUGACAAUACAUAACGAUGCCGGGCCUUUGGUCUGGCAAUUGGAAUGAGUACAAUGUAAACACCUUAACGAGGAACAAUUGGAGGGCAAGUCUGGUGCCAGCAGCCGCGGUAAUUCCAGCUCCAAAAGCGUAUAUUAAAGUUGUUGCAGUUAAAAAGCUCGUAGUUGAAGUUCAACUCCCCUUUCAUUAGGGGAGCCCGCCCUUUUUGGGCAAUUACUUUGAAAAAAUUAGAGUGUUCAAAGCAGUCACUGAAUAUAUUAGCAUGGAAUAAUAAAAUAGGACGCAUGGUCUAUUUUGUUGGUCUGGACCAUCGUAAUGAUUAAUAGGAACGGAUGGGGGCAUAUGUAUUGCACAGUCAGAGGUGAAAUUCUUAGAA